RNAcentral lists this ribosomal RNA (253 nucleotides) under uncultured bacterium. Its description in RNAcentral is "partial 16S ribosomal RNA". It matches the Rfam family "Bacterial small subunit ribosomal RNA", at positions 524 to 776 of the family's 1533-position model. The record is from RNAcentral.
UACGUAGGGUGCAAGCGUUGUCCGGAAUUAUUGGGCGUAAAGAGCUCGUAGGCGGUUUGUUGCGUCGGCUGUGAAAUCCCGAGGCUCAACCUCGGGUCUGCAGUCGAUACGAGCAAACUAGAGUGUUGUAGGGGAGUCUGGAAUUCCUGGUGUAGCGGUGAAAUGCGCAGAUAUCAGGAGGAACACCGGUGGCGAAGGCGGGACUCUGGGCCGAUACUGACGCUGAGGAGCGAAAGCGUGGGGAGCGAACAGG